Molecule: long non-coding RNA, 574 nt
Filed under: Mus caroli (Ryukyu mouse)
Lineage: Eukaryota; Metazoa; Chordata; Mammalia; Rodentia; Muridae
Description: lncRNA (MGP_CAROLIEiJ_G0003072.1)
Source: RNAcentral
GGCCUUCACAUGAGUCCUGUGAAGAAAGAAAUUGUAAAGGAAUGAAAGGAUGAUUGAAUGAGCCCAUCAUCUUCCUUCUGAGCCCAGUAGAGGCUCCAGAGUGCUCUCCAUGCCACAGGACCUCCGGAUCACCUGGGGAUCACAGCUACUCUCUGAUGAAGUUGGUGGCGCUGUGGAGGAGGACCGCCGCCUCCUGGACGAGGACCGGGAGCGCUCAGCAUUGUAGGAGACAUGCUUGUCGUAGUUCUCCAUCUGUGUCUCAAUGAAGUCCCUUUGCUGCUGUCUGAUGGUCUGGCUGAUUAGCCCAGGGAGGGCGUGAAUGCUACCAAUCAAAGUCUCUAGUUUUGUUUCCAGGGUGACGAUCCUUUUCUCAAAGUCUUCACUCCUUUCGUUUAAGUCGGAAAUCAUGUCAUACAUGAUAUUCUGGGUCUGGAAAGCAAGAAUGAGAAGAUAGAAACAGAGAAGGAAGAGGCUUAGUGACUUUUGCCUCAGAAGCGAACUGUCAACUCUUCAAGCUUCAGCACUGGCCUCUUGACAGGUGUGUCAGCUAACAGAAGAGUUUAGGUCACAAAGC